GAUGAACGCUGGCGGCGUGCCUAAUACAUGCAAGUCGAGCGAACAGACGAGGAGCUUGCUCCUCUGACGUUAGCGGCGGACGGGUGAGUAACACGUGGAUAACCUACCUAUAAGACUGGGAUAACUUCGGGAAACCGGAGCUAAUACCGGAUAAUAUAUUGAACCGCAUGGUUCAAUAGUGAAAGACGGUUUUGCUGUCACUUAUAGAUGGAUCCGCGCCGCAUUAGCUAGUUGGUAAGGUAACGGCUUACCAAGGCAACGAUGCGUAGCCGACCUGAGAGGGGGAACGGCCACACUGGAACUGAGACACGGUCCCAACUCCUAAGGGAAGCAGCAGUAGGGAAUCUUCCGCAAUGGGGGGAAGCUUGACGGAGCAACGCCGGGUGAGGUAUGAAGGUCUUCGGAUCGGAAAACUCUGUUAUUAGGGAAGAACAAAUGUGUAAGUAAAUAUGCACGUCUUGACGGUAACUAAUCAAAAAGCCCCGGCUAACUACGUG
RNAcentral lists this ribosomal RNA (497 nucleotides) under uncultured bacterium. RNAcentral's name for it is "partial 16S ribosomal RNA". It matches the Rfam family "Bacterial small subunit ribosomal RNA", at positions 28 to 507 of the family's 1533-position model. The record is from RNAcentral.